RNAcentral lists this ribosomal RNA (500 nucleotides) under Lavigeria sp. UGSB 16258. RNAcentral's name for it is "partial large subunit ribosomal RNA". It matches the Rfam family "Bacterial large subunit ribosomal RNA", at positions 1816 to 2597 of the family's 2925-position model. The record is from RNAcentral. RNAcentral also lists the same sequence under 1 other name. Lineage: Eukaryota; Metazoa; Mollusca; Gastropoda; Thiaridae.
GGUUCCUUGAUUAAUAAAAAUGAGGAAUCAGGCCUGCCCAGUGAAAUUUUAACGGCCGCGGUACUCUGACCGUGCAAAGGUAGCAUAAUCAUUUGCCUUAUAAUUGAAGGCUAGUAUGAAUGGUUUGACGUGGGCAGCGCUGUCUACUUUUAUAUUUUCUAUAAAUUAACCUUUAGGUGAAGAGGCCUAAAUUUAAUUAAAGGACAAGAAGACCCUGUCGAGCUUAAAAGCUUAAAAAGAAAUCAUUAUUAACAAAAUUUAUCUCUUUUGUAACUUUUUAGUUGGGGCGACUAAGGAACAAAUAAAGCUUCUUCCACCAAAACAGCCAAUAAGCCAAGAUCCAGUUUACUGAGCAAAAAAAUUAGUUACCGCAGGGAUAACAGCAUAAUCUUCCUUGAGAGACCAAAUCGAAAGGGAGGGUUGUGACCUCGAUGUUGGACUAGAAUAUCCUGAAGAUGCAGACGUCUUUAAGGGUUGGUCUGUUCGACCAUGAAAAUUCU